This is a long non-coding RNA of Ailuropoda melanoleuca (giant panda), 127 nucleotides long. RefSeq lists it as uncharacterized. Lineage: Eukaryota; Metazoa; Chordata; Mammalia; Carnivora; Ursidae. The transcript has 3 exons. The record is from RefSeq and is a predicted model, not a curated record.
CUAAAACUCACGUCACAUCUGUCACAUGAUCCCAGCUUGGUCAUUGACUGCUCUGAGAAGCCUGUCCUGAACUACCAAGGGUGGGUCAGAGUCAGUUCUUAUGAGCUCUUCUGAAACAGCGCACUCC